UAUCUAGGACAACAGUGAUGGAGAUACUGCUGGCAAUCAUUAUCAUCUCUACAUGGAGGAUAAUGAACUCAUGCAUCACCUUGGUGUCAACUCUUACAGAUUCUCUAUAUCUUGGUCAAGAAUUUUACCAAGAGGCAGAUUUGGGAAGGUUAAUUCAGUGGGCAUCGCGUUUUAC
Elaeis guineensis (African oil palm) is the source of this 175-nucleotide non-coding RNA. The record is from RefSeq and is a predicted model, not a curated record. NCBI's taxonomy places the organism in Eukaryota, Viridiplantae, Streptophyta, Magnoliopsida, Arecales, Arecaceae.